This 328-nucleotide unclassified non-coding RNA is filed under the name Hevea brasiliensis (rubber tree). Lineage: Eukaryota; Viridiplantae; Streptophyta; Magnoliopsida; Malpighiales; Euphorbiaceae. The record is from RNAcentral.
UAGUGAUGAAAAGAAAAGAAAAAUAAAAAAAGGCUCAUUUAUGACAUAAUGUGAUGUCAUUUAAAAAGCUACCACCAAUCAUAUGUAAACAACCAAUUAACUAACUAAUAAAAGAGAUAAAUGAAGACCAAAAAAAUUAAAAAAACACAGCAGCCAUCAUCCUCCCCAACCAGCCGAAAACCUUGCCCUAGCCAAACCUCCAUUAAAACCAUCAAAAAGCUUCAUUUCUCUCUUGUUUCCACUACUAAACCCUAAACCCCUUUCAUUAAAAGUUGUCCACUCAUCUUGGGAGAGUGUUUGGCAGCCUAGAAAGUGAAGGAAAGUGAAG